RNAcentral lists this ribosomal RNA (440 nucleotides) under uncultured bacterium. Its description in RNAcentral is "partial 16S ribosomal RNA". It matches the Rfam family "Bacterial small subunit ribosomal RNA", at positions 338 to 795 of the family's 1533-position model. The record is from RNAcentral.
CCUACGGGAGGCAGCAGUGGGGGAUAUUGGACAAUGGGGGGAACCCUGAUGCAGCGACGCCGCGUGGGUGAAGAAGUGCUUCGGUGUGUAAAGCUCUGUCAGCAGGGAAGAAAAAGAUGGCAGUACAAGACUAAGCCGCGGCUAACUACGUGCCAGCAGCCGCGGUAAUACGUAGGGGGCAAGCGUUAUCCGGAGUUACUGGGUGUAAAGGGAGCGGAGACGGCGAUGCAAGCCAGAAGUGAAAGCCGGGGGCCCAACCCCGGGACUGCUCUUGAAACUGCAUGGCUGGAGUGCAGGAGAGGCAGGCGGAAUUCCUGGUGUAGCGGUGAAAUGCGUAGAUAUCAGGAGGAACACCAGUGGCGAAGGCGGCCUACUGGACUGUAACUGACGUUGAGGCCCGAAAGCGUGGGGAGCAAACAGGAUUAGAUACCCGUGUAGUC